GUACAAUUGUUAGCUCGCCUCUUUUGCCAACAGGUAUUUUAUGAGUACCCAUUGCUAAGUUUCUGUGAUUUUUUAAAGAUAAUAAUACUAAUGAUUGAUUUGAUUGGAAGCUACAGAUUUUGAAAUGAGGUAUUUCUUCCAUCAGUUUGUGUUUUCAUUGUUUACCGACUUCCUUGCCUUCGUCUUUUUCAUCGCUAUGAUCUUCCUCUUAUCUUCCAAGGUGCUCACUUUCCGACUCACUUGGGUUAUAUCAGGAAGGGGAUUGAAUCUCACAGAUUAGCUCAGGUAUUUCCAUUGUUCUUAUUAUUAAUUUUUUUAAUCAAUUGUCAAUUCAAUGACUUUGCUCUCUUGGAGAAAUCUUAGAAAUGGAAAUCAUUCCCAAUUUCUGUUUUGGUUGCCGAUAAAACAGUGGAAAGCAAAGACCAAGGGUGCUUGAAGAAAAAAAAAAAAUUCAUUUUUUUAUCUGCUUUUGGUUGCUGUAUCCUAAAUAUGGAGAAAAAAAAUUAAUGAUAAAACACAAGGAAAAAAGAAGUGAAGAUUAAUCAUGUUUCGACAAAAUAGAAAUUGGGUGCUUUAUUCUUUUUGGGCUUAACUUUUCUCAUAGAUUGCUUGCACUUGAGGGCAUUCCCCCGCAUGUUAUUGUUUUAAUGCUUUUGUCCUCUGUUGGGUCAUUUGGGUUGGUGUCAUUUUACAUUGCUAACCUUAUGUUUGUAUAUUUUGCUUGAAUUUCAGCUGCACCCAGAAAACUAUCUGAGAAGAUAAUCUGCAGAGCAGGGGACUUGCAAUCUACUGAGGUUAAGUAUCUUUGAAACCACUCCAAGGACCUCCUCUCCUUUGAGUUGUAGUUUCAUUUAAGUUGCCAAAAACUCCUGCAGUAACUUUGAUACCUCGCCAGCUACAUGUUCCAAUGGAUCUUUUUUUGCUUCACAGUUUCUUAGGUUCCAUUUAAUUUGGUAUUUAUUUUGGUGUGAUAUAUUUCUCUUAGGGUGUGUCAAAUGGUAAAGCUGCAAGUAAACCAUCUAUUGAUAAUAAUAAAAAUGAGCUUUCUAACCCUAAACCCUCUAAUAUCUGAGUAUGUUGUUGAAUCUAUUGGGUGUUUUGUUGAGGUUAAUUUUAGGGUACAGCAAUGGAUUGAAACAUCUGAGCAUGUUGUUGAAUGUUUUGAGUGUUUUGAGACUGAUGGAGAGAGAAAAACAGAGGAAAAUAGUAUCUGAAUAGAGUUUUUUUCUUUCAAUUACUUAUAAGAUUUCUUCAUAUAAAGCCCUUUGUUUAAUAUCAGUUUCUAUUGAGCUCCCUUAGUUUUUGGUGGAUGUUGGUGUGUAAGUGUGUGUUCUUCCUGUUAUUCACACUGAACCCAUUUUUCUGGAAGGCCAUAACGGUAUAAAGUAGGUAUAAAUUAGGUAUAAAUUAGGUCAAAAUGCUUCUGUAGAGGACUGUUCUGUAUGUAUGGAAUUUUGAUCUUUGUGGAAAUAUGAAUGGUAUGUUAGAAAGUGAAUUCAUAUAGACCGCAUAGUUGGAAUUUUGAGUUCUUAGGUUUAUUUUUGUGCAAAGUCUUCUGUUAGAAGAUUCACUGAAGAGCCAUUUCUUUCUUUUUUCAGUCCUUCUUCUAUCACUUGAAAGGCUAAAGUACCUGCAAAGGCAUGAAUUCUUGCAGGAAUUAUAGCUCAUGAGAGCAAUACUUUUUUUUAUAUAAAUCUAUUUAAAGGAUGAGACAUAGAAGGAUCUUUGAAAAUUAUGGUCUGGAAUGGAUAUUUUGCAGACCAAAGUUUGAGAGGUCUGUCAUUGGGAAUGCAUAAUUGUAUCCGAAAGCUUCCCGUGAUGAACUUUAGGUCAAACUCAUAAAGAGAGAACAUUUAAAUUCGUAAAGAAGGGGUAGUGUUCAAGCUAUUUCCCAAGUUAUUAUUUCAAAUCUUUGCCCUUCCAAGUUUUAAAGGUUUAAAUUGUUUGUUAGGGUUUCUCAAUUUGGGUGUUUGAUUUACGAAUUUUAAUUCUUCUCUCUUUCUAAGUUUGAAAACUACCUUCAUUAUCUGGUUGGAGUUGUUGAUACAACCAGAACCAGAUUUUAAAUUCAGUUGGGAUUGUUGGGAGAUAAGAAUGGGAGAUUUUUUUGGCUGGCUCUUUGUCAGUUGGGAUUUGUUUUUGUUUUCUUUUCUUAAUGCUUCUUAAUUCCUGUUUUGCUUUAGCAAAGUGUUCAGCUCGCAUGAAUUUGAUCUUUCGGUUAAUAGAGCUUAGAAAUUAGCUUACGGCACCAUAUGAAAAUGGGUUUAAUUUUCUUUAGGUUUAUAGUGAAGAAGUCGAUCGUUUAAAAGGGUUUUUCUUCAAGAACAAACAUAUAGUGUAAUUUAAGAUAAACAAAAAGAAACUAAACUAUUUUUAUAUCACCAAAAAUUUCAGUGUCUCUGAUACCUAAUCAGACCAAAGUGAGUCAAAUUAAAGUUAGUAACCAACUGAACUUACUACAAGUGAAAUGUGUCUGAACAAUGAGUUGAGGCAAACACCAGAGGAGCCACAAUAAGUUAUUAAUUGUUCUUCAAAACAAGAAAACAAACUAAAGAAACACAUAAUUUCAAAAGUUCAGAGUGAAUUGUGUCCUGUUCGCGUUUUUUUUAAAAAAAGAAAAACUCCACAAUCAGUUUUGCCCUUGCAUGGCCCUCUGAAAUUUGGAACUGUUCAGUUAAACCCAGAUGUGCCAUAAGAAGUCAGACAUGGGUGAGCAGCUCUCCUCCUCGCCUGAGCUGCUGAGCCUGACCACUCCAUCGACAUUGAUUGGCGGCAUAAGGGAGCAUCUCCACCCACACAUGACUUACAAACUGCCACUUUCUCCCAUUAGUCCCCCCUCUAUCUGACUCCAGGGACUGCAAGGCUUUAGCAAGCCUGCAUGCAUCAAAUAGAACUGACUUGCUUCUAUCUCCUUUCACUUUAGAUGGAAGGAUGUCUGUGCACACAUCCAGUAGCUUUGUGCAUGCUUUCCUUUCACCCAAUUUCAUUAUUUUCUUUUCCUUGAAAAAUUCUUCAGCCUCAGCACAUGUGUCUCUAAACCUUAUCUGUCCAAUCCCAUUCAGUAGCAUGAAGGGGCACAUGACUAAUAGUUCAAUAACAGCUUACUGUCUUCACAAUUUUCACUAGGAACCGAGUUCGAGUUUCGAUUCACAUCAGAAUAAUAACAUAGAUCGGUUUGUGCAUUUGGUAUUUGUUUUUGUGUGAUAUUUUUCUCUUAGGGCGUGUCAAAUGGUAAAGCUGUUGAUUUGUUGGAAUUUAGGGUUUAUGAUUUGUUGAUUAAAUUUUGUGAUGGACCUCUUUUCCUCUCUCUGUUUGUGCAUUUGUCUUAAUUAAAUUUGUUUCUUAAAAAAAAAAUAAAAUGGUCUGUUUGAUUAAUUGAUAUGACAGUUUGCUUUGAUUAAUUCAUGUGUAUGACAGAAAAGGUUGGGAGCUGCUUUUGGAGCCUCAUUUAUUUGGCCUGCGAGCUUGAUUUACUUCUCCAGGUUUUCAUUCUCUUCCAUCUCCAUCUCCGAUUUUAAUCUAUUGGUUUGGAAAAGCUCAUAUUCAAGUGAUUUUUAAACUCUAAAUCCCUAAUUGAUGAUAAUGCCUAAUAUUUUUAGUUAGUUGAAAUUUUUAUAAUGAGUUAUUAGAUGAAUAUUGAUGAUUUUCUUUGUGGAUAAUGAUUUAUUAGAUUGAAUGAAUAUUGAUGAUUUUGUGUGUGGAUAAUGAUUUGUUGGAUUAUAGAUGACUAUAUAUGAUUAUUUGAUUUGUUGGAAUUUAGGGUUUAUGAUUUGUUGAUUAAAUUUUGUGAUAGAAUUUUUUUUUUAUAACUUAAUAAUCUGUUUAUCGAUGAUGUGUAAAUAACAUAGUAGCAUAUUUAAAUUUUUUAACGGGUGUUUUGAAUCAAGUGCUUCCUUCUAUUCUUCAAAAAGACAUCUAUUCUGGUAAACUUAAUUGAGUUUGAGCUUAUGGGGUUAAACUUUUUGCCAUAUUUUUAUUGCACUGUUUCUUUUCUUAUUCUUAUAUGCAGGGAUGAUUUGUUUCUUUUCUUUUUUUUUUUCCUUCUUCUCAAUUUUAAACAGAUUUACAGUACUUUCUCUUGCUGAAAUUUUGUGAAAUAUAUGUAUAUAGGGGAGCUCAAAUUAAGAAAUAGUGGUUACGCAUUAUUCCUUUUUCAUAAAAUUCAAUUUUUCUUCAAUACAUCCAACUAUGAUUCUUUUACCUCUCUUCAACUUUUCCUUUAGAUAAACACAGAAUUUAAAAUAUGUUUACUUUGUGUUACAUCAAUUGGAAAACCAUCUAGAACUUGCUCAUUAGUUCUCUUAAUUUCGUUACUUUGUGUUUCCUCGAUUGGAAAACCAUUUAUAACUUUCUUAUUAAAUUGUUAAAUUAUAUUAUUCAUGUUUAUACAUAAUUAGAUGUUUAUGAUUAUUGUCCUAACUCGAUUUUCCCCAUUCAUCAACACUAACACUUACUAUUUUCCCACUUUUUUAUAACAGGUCAAGAUCUCCAUCAAAGAGAAGAAAAGUCAUGAAGAAAUUGCAAAACAAAACCUGCCCAAUUAAACAGCAUGCUACUCAAAACUAUCCAAAUUUUGCUAUUUUGAUAACUGCUUCCCGCUAUUAACAUCUCAAUGUAUAUACAAACAUGCCUACUAUUUUAACAUAACAAGCAGCCUGUAAAAUAUGUUAUUACUUUCUUUUUUAGCAACUUAUACUUCCUUAGUUAAGCAUAAUGCUACAAAUUAAAUCUCAUUGUAUAUAUAAACAAUCUUAUUUUGUCUACGUAAUUUCAAAACCCG
RNAcentral lists this long non-coding RNA (4780 nucleotides) under Prunus dulcis (almond). RNAcentral's name for it is "sRNA ncRNA". The record is from RNAcentral. Lineage: Eukaryota; Viridiplantae; Streptophyta; Magnoliopsida; Rosales; Rosaceae.